RNAcentral lists this unclassified non-coding RNA (321 nucleotides) under Hevea brasiliensis (rubber tree). Lineage: Eukaryota; Viridiplantae; Streptophyta; Magnoliopsida; Malpighiales; Euphorbiaceae. The record is from RNAcentral.
AAAUUGAUUAUGACUGUUGGAGGAGCUACUGCAUUAGCUGCUGGAGUUUACACAACCAGGGAAGGUGCCAGAGUUACCUGGGGUUAUAUCAACCGAAUACUGGGGCAACCAUCACUGAUCCGAGAAUCAUCCAUUGUUAGAUUUCCAUUUUCUGGGGUAUUAUCUCGUGUAAGGAACAAUGUUUCCAAAUAUAGCACAACAGCUGGGNNNNNNNNNNNNGGAAAGAAAGGGUGGCUUCAAAAAUAUUGUUCUUCAUCCUUCAUUGCAAAGGAGAAUAGAGCACCUUGGUAGGGCUACAGCCAACACUAAAACUCACCAGGC